RNAcentral lists this ribosomal RNA (329 nucleotides) under uncultured eukaryote. Its description in RNAcentral is "partial 18S ribosomal RNA". It matches the Rfam family "Eukaryotic small subunit ribosomal RNA", at positions 1470 to 1796 of the family's 1831-position model. The record is from RNAcentral.
CCCUUAGAUGUUCUGGGCCGCACGCGCGCUACACUGAUGCAUUCAACGAGUCUAAAACCUGCUCUGAUAGGGGUGGGUAAUCUUUUGAAUGUGCAUCGUGAUUGGGAUAGAUGAUUGCAAUUUUUCAUCUUCAACGAGGAAUGCCUAGUAAACGCAAGUCAUCAGCUUGCAUUGAUUACGUCCCUGCCCUUUGUACACACCGCCCGUCGCUCCUACCGAUUGAAUGAUCCGAUGAAUAUCAUGGAUUGAGGAUGCAAGUAGGUUCGCCUAUCUUCAUCUUCGAGAAGUGAAGUAAAUCUUAUCAUUUAGAGGAAGGAGAAGUCGUAAUA